This is a long non-coding RNA of Hypanus sabinus (Atlantic stingray), 1063 nucleotides long. RefSeq lists it as uncharacterized. NCBI's taxonomy places the organism in Eukaryota, Metazoa, Chordata, Chondrichthyes, Myliobatiformes, Dasyatidae. The transcript has 3 exons. The record is from RefSeq and is a predicted model, not a curated record.
CUCCCACAGCGCAAGAAUGUGCCGAGUUACAGCGCAGCAGCAUGGUAAAAGAACAUUCCGGCUCAAUGAGCCUGAGCCACCCAAGCACACCCAGUGAUUAAUGAACCUACUAAUCGGUGGCCAAGCCAGGUUCUUCGUGGACGGUGGGUCCACAAACUCGUCAAGCAGCUUGGCAUUUCGGUGUCACCAGGAAUGGCCUGGAAGGCAUGCACAUUCGGGGUGCAGCCCCGUGGACGACCCGAUUUCUUGCCGAUGUCGCAAACUGAAGACUAAAGACGCCAUGAGAGAUUGAAACAUCGAGACAGCGGGCGCUGUACGCAACCCUGGGCAACCUCUGCUCUCGAGCAAUCUUUCUUUCUUCCUUGUUCGCUGGCGAGUGAGAACCUGCUUGCUCCUGAGUCAGGGGAACUUGAAUAAGUGAUGCUGCAGAUUGGGCUAUCGAAAAGCUAUUGGUCUUCCCUCUCAUUUGUUGCAGGAGUUAUCUUUCUCUCUCUCUCCUCUGGGCUAGAGAGAGAGCCUGCCUGAGAUGUCAAAAGUGUUGGGAAGAACUGUAGUUUUUGAUGGACUCUAUCUCAUGGUCCCUUGGGGCUAUGUAUGAUGGAUGGUGGGGGCUGAUGUUUUUGCUGGAGCACGUGGGAGAAAGGGAGGAGGCUUUGAGGUUGUAAUGUUUUCUGUUAUUCAUUCUUUGGAGUUAUCUCUGUUUCAUGGAUGUCUGUGAAAAGUAACAGGUUGUAUAAUGUACACAUCCUCUGAUAUUAAACUGAACCACUGAAGCAAUGAACACGGUGUUUAUGCCCACAGAACUGUCACUCAUUAUAUAUCAAUUUUUGAGGGGGUGGUUGUUUGCACCAUUCUCUGUAAACUCCAUUGUGCAUGAAAAUCUCAGGAGAUCAGCAGUUUCUGAGAUACUCAAACCACCCCAUCUAGCACCAACAAUCAUUCCACAGUCAAAGCCACUUUUAUCACAUUCCUUCCCCAUUCAGAUGUUUGGUCUGAACAACAGCUGAACCUAUUGACCAUGUCUGCAUGCUUUUAUGUAUUGAGUUGCUGCCACAUGAUUGAC